UUUGAGUAAUUUAGCUUCAGUCCUGCUGCCUGUUACGAUUUUAACUUUCUUUCCAUCUCUCUAUUUAACUGUGAAAUAUGCCUCUGCCAUUUUGCUUCCCUUUACCUUGAAUCUUGGUGAAUACACAUUACAAAUUUGCUGCUACCUUUUUUGUUUUCACCAUCAAUGCACCAUCAUUAACAAAAUCCUAUUGUCCGGUGUGCUUAAGAUGGGCUAUGCAGGUAAGUAUGUCAGGUAAGGAUCAGUUAACAUAGGUAAAUAGAAUACAGGUAAGGAUCAGUUAACAUAGGUAAAUAGAAUACAAAAAAGUUCAGCGGCCUCGUAUCUGCAGUGCUAACAGCCCUUUUUUUGCUGCCAUUGGAAGCUUUAUAUGUGAUAGCAAAUAGCAAUAGCAUGGUGUAUGAAUGUAUAUUGUGGAUAUCCAAUUAUGCGUAG
RNAcentral lists this long non-coding RNA (435 nucleotides) under Triticum aestivum (bread wheat). RNAcentral's name for it is "long non-coding RNA (TAES_LNC005456)". The record is from RNAcentral. Lineage: Eukaryota; Viridiplantae; Streptophyta; Magnoliopsida; Poales; Poaceae.